CCAUUGCUGAGGAGUCCCACAAUUGGACGAAACGGCCGUCCAGUGC
This is a non-coding RNA of Schistosoma mattheei, 46 nucleotides long. The record is from Rfam. NCBI's taxonomy places the organism in Eukaryota, Metazoa, Platyhelminthes, Trematoda, Strigeidida, Schistosomatidae.